UGAUGUGCCAUCACUUUCAAUCCCAAACUGACCAGCAACAACUUUGGUUCCCAUGCUGAAACUUUGCUGAAGUGGGAGAUAGCUUGAAUUUCCGGCAGAGAUUUCAGAGAGCUUUCCAAGGUGAGAAAUUAAGAUAUGUGUCAUUUCUGUUAACAGAAAUUUGGGUUAAACCUGCGGCACUUUCAAAGUGAAGAGACAAGGUCUUUCGAUGUAAACCUG
Molecule: long non-coding RNA, 219 nt
Filed under: Gallus gallus (chicken)
Lineage: Eukaryota; Metazoa; Chordata; Aves; Galliformes; Phasianidae
Source: RNAcentral